RNAcentral lists this unclassified non-coding RNA (99 nucleotides) under fungal sp. Its description in RNAcentral is "partial internal transcribed spacer region". The stretch from base 1 to 46 matches the Rfam family "Eukaryotic small subunit ribosomal RNA", at positions 1786 to 1831 of the family's 1831-position model. Lineage: Eukaryota; Fungi. The record is from RNAcentral.
AAGUCGUAACAAGGUUUCCGUAGGUGAACCUGCGGAAGGACUAGUGAAAGCUAUUGGGUUAUAACUAAACGACUGUUAACAAUGGAUAUCUCGAUUCUC